Molecule: ribosomal RNA, 498 nt
Filed under: uncultured bacterium
Lineage: Bacteria
Description: partial 16S ribosomal RNA
Rfam family: Bacterial small subunit ribosomal RNA
Source: RNAcentral
GGAUGAACGCUGGCGGCGUGCCUAAUACCUGCAAGUCGAGCGAACAGACGAGGAGCUUGCUCCUCUGACGUUAGCGGCGGACGGGUGAGUAACACGUGGAUAACCUACCUAUAAGACUGGGAUAACUUCGGGAAACCGGAGCUAAUACCGGAUAAUAUAUUGAACCGCAUGGUUCAAUAGUGAAAGACGGUUUUGCUGUCACUUAUAGAUGGAUCCGCGCCGCAUUAGCUAGUUGGUAAGGUAACGGCUUACCAAGGCAACGAUGCGUAGCCGACCUGAGAGGGUGAUCGGCCACACUGGAACUGAGACACGGUCCAGACUCCUACGGGAGGCAGCAGUAGGGAAUCUUCCGCAAUGGGCGAAAGCCUGACGGAGCAACGCCGCGUGAGUGAUGAGGGUCUUCGGAUCGUAAAACUCUGUUAUUAGGGAAGAACAAAUGUGUAAGUAACUAUGCACGUCUUGACGGUACCUAAUCAGAAAGCCACGGCUAACUACGUG